UAUAGUGAUGAAUAUAAUCACAAUUGUCACUACCUCUGAGGCAAUGUAUUUCUCGUUUUAUUUUGUUACUUGUGUAUAUUAUUAAGCCUUGUG
Raphanus sativus (radish) is the source of this 93-nucleotide small nucleolar RNA. RefSeq annotates it as small nucleolar RNA snoR17. Lineage: Eukaryota; Viridiplantae; Streptophyta; Magnoliopsida; Brassicales; Brassicaceae. The transcript has a single exon. The record is from RefSeq and is a predicted model, not a curated record.